Molecule: long non-coding RNA, 2904 nt
Organism: Gasterosteus aculeatus aculeatus (three-spined stickleback)
Lineage: Eukaryota; Metazoa; Chordata; Actinopteri; Perciformes; Gasterosteidae
Source: Ensembl
AAACUAAUAUUUUAUAGUUUGUAUAUUUUAAUGCAAUUAAUUCAAAACACAGAAGGUAGGACCCAUUUGGGGGCUCUAAUGUACCUCCAUCAUCAAAGGGGGGUUCAACAGAAAGCGUUUUUUUUCAGGUUUAGGUUUAGAUACCGGCAAGGGUUAGGGUUGCGAUUGGGUUGGUAGAGGUUAUGGUUGGGGUACGUUUUCAGGAAAUGAAUGUAAGCCAAUGUAUUGUCCCAACAACUGUGUGUGUGUUUGUGUGUGUGUUUGUUUUUGAGAUGAUUGAAGUGCAAUGACUCUGCCUGGAGGCAGAAGCCACCCCAUUGUGGAGGUUGAACACAAGGCCAGACACCCGUUUCUGCCCCAAAUGAAUUAUGAAACGAAGCCAAGCGCGUUUUAUUCUCCACGCAACUGACACACCGAGGCUGAGGCCAAAGACCUGGGGAGGGGCAGAAUGAGGCCGGCAUGGCAGUGCUGAACAAGAAGAUAUCAAUACUGAGAAAGCAUGAAGGAAUUAAAACAACGACAAGUUAUUUUUUGUCACAAACGUACUCAACCCGGACCACCAUCUGUCCCUGAGCCUUAGCGAGUAAGAAAGUGACCUGGAAAGACCCGCAUAUAGAAAACCAUGCUAUGAACCAGAUCCCUCCUGUAUCAGCCCAUCCAUCUGCUGCAAGUCCUUCUCCCCAGAGCCCAGUGGGAGGUAACGCCGCGCUGUUCCUAGGCUGUGACGGGUGGAGACCGACUGUAACGUCACCAAUCACCAACUGACUCUUUGUGCCUACCCACGUCUCCCUCAGGCGGGGAGAAUUACUACAUACUUCAUGUCCGGGUUCCUUUCAGCUGUCUCCAAGAUCUUCAACCUAAACAUGCUUAUUGCCGCCAACAGACAGAAAGGACUGUGACACAUGCUUUUGUCUCAACCCACGUCCACCACUCCUACCAGCUUCCCCCUCUGCCUCCCUUGCAUUCACAUCUACUAUCAUGAAUGCUUGCAGAACAAACACUCCACCAAUUAGCGCUAUCAGCCUGCGGCGCCUUCGGUGAACCUCUUUGUUUGCAAAGAAAAAAAAGAAUAUUGGCUUCAACGACGUGACAAGAAAAGGGCCUGUCGUAAUGGAGCCGCUGCUUGCUGCAAAACACCCCAGACCAGAACAUGGGUGGGAUGGCCGAUAGUCCGGGAGAGAUUCCAGUGAUGAGGCCCACAUCGUUCCCAGAGCUACGACGGGAGCAUUUUAGGCCGUGAGAGCUACGCGCUCCGGCUGGUGCGUUUCGUUUGUUAGAUCGCCCGCUACGGUUUGGUCCAGCUACGUCGCUGCGGAGUGUUUGCUCCGACGGCAACUUAAUGCAGCUUCAUGAAGUAGAUCUUCUCAAACGUUAUCCUUUCGUCCUGCAUGCCUCUCUCAGUCCACCACACACACACACACACACACACACACACACCUUUCAGACGAAUAAAGAUUUAAUGCAAGUUAUCCACAAACUGAGUUGUGUAAAUCAAGAAGCUGGGGUUACGUAAGAAAGGGGUUUAGCCAACUACAAACAGCAAUGCGGAGGCCUGUAUGCUUCUCAGCUAAUGUAAUUAAUUGGAUUGUGCUGAUUAACAUACACAUUUAAUGUAUAUGCACUGUCAUUACUGACAAAUUCUUGGAAUGCCACUAAAGAAGAAUUCAAAACUUCCUCCCACUAAAGACGUAUCAUUACAUGGCAAUGAAACGGGGGUUCAAAUAUCCCUAAUAAACAGGUAUCAUUUAACAUUGGGGUUGUCUCAAGUUUGGUGAGGAAAGCAAGUGUUUGGAAAAUAAGCUAAAAUGUUUCCCAACAGUAAAUCAAAGAGUCCCACAAUUUGAUUUGUCCGUCAAUAUUGAAAUGCAACACGUCAAUUUGCUAUUAUUUUUUUUCAUUUUGCAUGUACACUGAAUGUAAACAUCAGGCUUUUUUUUUAUUUGUAUACACUUGCCUCCACUAGAGCACAAUGUUGAUCGAUGACUCCUGAGACUAAACUCGCAUUGCUGACUUGCAGCGUGGCCGUAGUUUGAGUUGUCAAUGACUGGCUGGUGUAUCUGCAUUGGGUCGGUUGGUCUAUUUAUCACAAUUUGAAUUCCCACAACAGAAAGAAACAGGUUAAGCAUAAUAAAUGUGUGGGCAUUAACCAAGAUAGAGCACAUUCAUUGUGUAAAAACAUGCACGAGGCACAUGUUGAAGGUAGCCGCAGCAGCAGCGUCGCUGUGAUAGUCAGUUGAGGGGGGGGCUGGCUUUCCAAUGGAUUGCAUCAAUUCUUUGUUCUAUGCCGUUAAACUACCACAGUGUCGGCCCACCCAUCGGCAAGUAAACAAUCUUCUGGCAUUUUGAGGUAAUCAUAAUACUGUUAGUACCAAAACAAUCUGGUGUGAAUCUGAGCAGCAGUUACAGCAGCGAGAGCAGAUGACCAUUAGCAGUUGUCAGGUCUAAUGCAGACGAGAUCACAGCAAUGUCUCAACACAAAUAUUGCCAUGUGGCAUCCUGUCCUCUUCUGCUUCGAGCUCUCCAGCACCUUCGAAUGUAAUACAGAAAACCAGCUUCGGAAAAAAAAAGGGGGGGGGGGGAGGGGGAGGCCGAAUGUGAUAAAAUAUGAAGAGUCUGAUGCCUUUUCCUCGCCGUUGUCUUAGUCUCAUUGCCACCCUGCUGUCGCCAAGUCUUCAGCCCUCUGCGCCCACACAGGGGUUUUCCUCACUGCAGGUGUUGGGAAUAUUUCCAAAUAUACCAAUCAGAAGUUCCCCAAAACAUACCUGCAUGGAUGGAAUCAAAGUGCCUUGCCCUUCCUCAGGUGUCUCCUGUCAAUUGUCUCCCCUGAUUCCUAAUUGUCUCCACCUGUUCCCUCACCUCCCUCAUGGAUACUUAUUGUCUGCGUCUCCCUUUGUCCUGUGCCAG